RNAcentral lists this long non-coding RNA (1317 nucleotides) under Marmota monax (woodchuck). The record is from RNAcentral. Lineage: Eukaryota; Metazoa; Chordata; Mammalia; Rodentia; Sciuridae.
UUUAAUUUAACUUUACUCUUCACCUAGAUUCACCAAAUUAUUGACAUUUUGCCAUACUUGCUUUAUAAAAUGGAUGGAUGGAUGGAUAAAUAAGUAGAAUAGAGGUAGAUACAUAUACACACAGGAAGAUACAUUUUUAUGACUUGUUCAAAAGUAGACUGCAGACAUAAUGAUACUUCCCCUCUAAAUACUUUGGCAUACAUGUUCUGCUAAGAAAAAAGAUAUUCUCCUACAAAACAACAGUAUUGUUAUUAUACCCAAGAAAUCUAAUAUUGAAUACAAUAGUAUUAUCUAAUCCAUUCCAGAUUCAAAAUAUCCCAGUUAUUUGAAUAAAAUGUCCUCUGUGGCCAUUUUAUUUUUCUAAUCCAUGAUCAAACCCAGGAUGAUUCACCAUCACCCCAACAUAUGCACACUUAUUUCAUGGGUAGAGGCCUAUCUCUCCCAUUUUANAUGGGAAAAUCUCCUCAGUAUCUCUUGUAGCAUACCCUACCAUUGCUUAGAGCAAAUCCAAGUCUGAGAUAUUGGAAUAAUAAUAAUUGCAACCCACCUUCUCCGUUCAAUGGUACUCAUAAUCAUUCUAAUAGUAAUAGCAGCUACCCCACAGAGGAAACAGUGCCGAUAACAUAGAACAUGCUAAAUAGGUGUUUGGUAGUAUUAUUGACAUUAUUCUGAUCACCUAACUUGUUUAAAUCACCCCCUAAAAAAGUAAGAUUCCUGAAAGCACUUGAGUGAAAUUUAAGUAGUUACAUAUGUGAGACUUAUAUUUGAGUAUUUUAGUGAAAGUAUUGAAGUGAAAGCAUAACUUUUUCUUGUAAAAAUUGGAAUAAUUCUAACAGCAUUUGUAGUUCCCCCUUCUUUUCCUUGUCCUUCUCACUACACUAUGAAUCUUCCAUUACAGCCGGGCACGUUUAAUAUUUUGUCCAUCACGUUUGCAAUAUCCUGUUCUGCCUCUAUGUUUUUCUCAUGAUUUGCAUAUGUUCAUGCCCAAUUUCUAACUGCACUUUAGUAGUUUAGAUUUGUUUUCUCUCCUUUCCAAAUUCAACUUAUCUAAGAACAAACAUAUAUCUCUUCCCUCAUGAGACCUUCCAUAAUCAAUCUAGUUUAUGAUACUCUCUCACUCCUCUGAACUUAUCAAUACAGCAUCUCAAAUCUUGUAUUUAAACUACACAGGCAUUUUUGUUAGUUGCUUUUCUAAGUGAAUAAUCUUCUUUGGAACUGUGUUCUUGAGGCCUAAAUUGUUUUCCACUUCCCUAAAUGCUUUAUAGAAACAAGCAUAUACAAAAUUUUUAGAAAAUAUUGGUUGACUUUUUAUGAUUU